Molecule: small nuclear RNA, 100 nt
Organism: Rattus norvegicus (Norway rat)
Lineage: Eukaryota; Metazoa; Chordata; Mammalia; Rodentia; Muridae
Source: Ensembl
UGGAUACCCUAUCUACUGAAAUUGGAAAAAUACAGAGAUUAGCAUGGUCCCUGAGAAAGGAUGAAAUGCAAGUUUGCAACGUGUAGUGUGCCCUGAAUUU